RNAcentral lists this ribosomal RNA (402 nucleotides) under uncultured bacterium. RNAcentral describes it as "bacterial SSU rRNA". It matches the Rfam family "Bacterial small subunit ribosomal RNA", at positions 355 to 774 of the family's 1533-position model. The record is from RNAcentral.
UGGGGAAUAUUGCACAAUGGGCGAAAGCCUGAUGCAGCAACGCCGCGUGAGUGAUGAAGGCCUUCGGGUUGUAAAGCUCUGUCUUCUGGGACGAUAAUGACGGUACCAGAGGAGGAAGCCACGGCUAACUACGUGCCAGCAGCCGCGGUAAUACGUAGGUGGCAAGCGUUGUCCGGAUUUACUGGGCGUAAAGGAUGCGUAGGCGGAUACUUAAGUCAGAUGUGAAAAUCCCGGGCUUAACUUGGGAACUACAUUUGAAACUGGGUAUCUAGAGUGCGGGAGAGGAAAGUGGAAUUCCUAGUGUAGCGGUGAAAUGCGUAGAGAUUAGGAAGAACACCAGUGGCGAAGGCGACUUUCUGGACCGUAACUGACGCUGAGGCAUGAAAGCGUGGGGAGCAAACA